CUACUCCGAUCACCGAAGUUAAGCAACGUCGAGCCCGGUUAGUACUUGGAUGGGUGACCGCCUGGGAAUACCGGGUGUUGUAG
Molecule: ribosomal RNA, 83 nt
Filed under: Mytilus edulis (blue mussel)
Lineage: Eukaryota; Metazoa; Mollusca; Bivalvia; Mytilida; Mytilidae
Source: RNAcentral